CCUACGGGGGGCAGCAGUGGGGAAUAUUGCGCAAUGGGCGAAAGCCUGACGCAGCGACGCCGCGUGAGGGAUGAAGGUCUUCGGAUCGUAAACCUCUGUCAGCAGGGAAGAACGGUCACUGUGCUAAUCAGCAGUGAAUUGACGGUACCUGCAAAGGAAGCACCGGAUAACUCUGUGCCAGCAGCCGCGGUAAUACGGAGGGUGCGAGCGUUAAUCGGAAUUACUGGGCGUAAAGCGCUCGUAGGCGGUAUGUCAAGUCAAGGGUGAAAUCCCCGCGCUCAACGUGGGAACUGCCUUUGAAACUGGCAGACUGGAGUGUGUGAGAGGAUAGUGGAAUUCGAGGUGUAGGAGUGAAAUCCGUAGAUAUCUGGAGGAACAUCAGUGGCGAAGGCGACUAUCUGGCACAUAACUGACGCUGAGGAGCGAAAGCGUGGGUAGCAAACAGGAUUAGAUACCCUGGUAGUC
Molecule: ribosomal RNA, 465 nt
Filed under: uncultured bacterium
Lineage: Bacteria
Description: partial 16S ribosomal RNA
Rfam family: Bacterial small subunit ribosomal RNA
Source: RNAcentral